This 484-nucleotide ribosomal RNA is filed under the name uncultured bacterium. RNAcentral describes it as "partial 16S ribosomal RNA". It matches the Rfam family "Bacterial small subunit ribosomal RNA", at positions 30 to 507 of the family's 1533-position model. The record is from RNAcentral.
AUUGAACGCUGGCGGCAGGCCUAACACAUGCAAGUCGAGCGGAUGAGGGGAGCUUGCUCCCUGAUUUAGCGGCGGACGGGUGAGUAAUGCCUAGGAAUCUGCCUGGUAGUGGGGGAUAACGUUCCGAAAGGAACGCUAAUACCGCAUACGUCCUACGGGAGAAAGCAUGGGACCUUCGGGCCUUGUGCUAUCAGAUGAGCCUAGGUCGGAUUAGCUAGUUGGUGAGGUAAUGGCUCACCAAGGCGACGAUCCGUAACUGGUCUGAGAGGAUGAUCAGUCACACUGGAACUGAGACACGGUCCAGACUCCUACGGGAGGCAGCAGUGGGGAAUAUUGGACAAUGGGCGAAAGCCUGAUCCAGCCAUGCCGCGUGUGUGAAGAAGGUCUUCGGAUUGUAAAGCACUUUAAGUUGGGAGGAAGGGCUGCUGGUUAAUACCCUGCAGUUUUGACGUUACCAACAGAAUAAGCACCGGCUAACUUCGUG